UCAUUCAUAGAUCUACAAUAUAUCAUAAAAUCAAGCCCAAAUUGAAAAUUUUGGCAUGAUCUUUUCUUAUUUUGCAAAUUGUGAGCUAUUUUUUUAGCCCAAAAAAUAGAGAAAAUGAAAUAGGGGAGAAAAGGCACACCUUAUUUAGGCUUGGAUCUUCCUUCAAUCGCACUGAAUCGAUCUGAUUUUGCAAAUUGGAAAAAAAGGAGAGUCGUUUAAGCCUUAAGACUCUAAACAAAAUAGAGAAGAAGGUAUUAGAAAGGCCUUUUAACAAAAGAAGGAAAGGGGAGGGGGCUCGGUUCCCAACCAGGUCGACUGGGUGCAAACCGGAUGGUUCCCACCGAGUUCAAAUGGAACCGGCCAGUUCGGUCCGGUUCAGGCCUUUUUCGGUCAGUUCGGAACCCAUUCCGACCGGUUCAGGGCCGGAACCGAAUUUAAUGGACGAACCGACCCAGUGCCCCACCGGGUCAACUCAGUACAGGCCAACUCGAGCGGUUCUGUGCAGUUCGGCCUACCUUGCUUCAGCCUUAGUCCAAAGGUCCCUCCUUAUUCUUGUGGCACGUGCUACAAAUGAAA
This 576-nucleotide long non-coding RNA is filed under the name Phoenix dactylifera (date palm). Its description in RNAcentral is "long non-coding RNA (PDAC_LNC021215)". The record is from RNAcentral. Lineage: Eukaryota; Viridiplantae; Streptophyta; Magnoliopsida; Arecales; Arecaceae.